RNAcentral lists this non-coding RNA (23 nucleotides) under Arabidopsis thaliana (thale cress). Lineage: Eukaryota; Viridiplantae; Streptophyta; Magnoliopsida; Brassicales; Brassicaceae. The record is from RNAcentral.
GACAUUUGGGCCUCUUUUGACUC